This 2718-nucleotide ribosomal RNA is filed under the name Triticum aestivum (bread wheat). RNAcentral's name for it is "partial small subunit ribosomal RNA". The record is from RNAcentral. Lineage: Eukaryota; Viridiplantae; Streptophyta; Magnoliopsida; Poales; Poaceae.
UUUCCCUUCGAUAGUAACAGAGUAGAGUUAUGCAAAUUUUUUAGUCGGCGGCAACUCACGGACAUUUAGCUGGUGCUUGUAGAGUGCCGGGGCAGUAAUCCACUAACGAAUAUUUAGUAUUUUUAAUUUCCAACUAUAAUCUGAAGCUGAACCAUAAUGAUCAGGUAUAUUCAGUGGUCACAUCAUCGGUGUCUUUCCCAUCUUUAUUUUCCCGGACGACAAGCCAAGCAAGCCCAACAAAUUCCAAACCCCCACGCAAGAAAUUCCAAAUUGCCACCCGCAAAUCCUCGCUUUCCCUUCCGAGCACGAUUCAUCCAUCCCAUCGCAAGGAACAAGGGAGUAAGAGCUGCUGCUUCUUCCGUGGUCCCGGUUCAAGGGAGUCAAGCAAGCACAAGAUCCUCUCGGUGAGCUUAUUGCCCCUCGGAUCCUUUUGCUUUUUCGUUGGCUUUAGCACCCUAAUUCUAGAAAAUCCGAGAAAUUUGGUGGGGAGUAGUGAUGCUUGUGGAUCGGCGGAGAUGAAUCCGUCUGAAUUCAGGAACCUGAUUCGACAGAAGAAGGGCUAACCUCCUUUUGGUCUCGUCUCAAGUUGACUGUGGAGUGUGAAGUCGUUCUUGCUGAUGGAGAAGCUGAGCUGAGCUUGGAUUCUUUAGCUGUUUAGCACCGGGAGAGCUUUGUUUGUGUAACUACACGAAGAAAAAGAAGAAGAUUCUUUACCUGCUAUUUCUAGAUGUUGAUCUGAUUCGAUUGCCACACAUGCGAUUCUCUUUGCUACAAUUGGAGAACCACGGCUCGCAGGGUUUGUACUUUGGUAGAUUGCAGCACUGGAAGUGUUAAUUGAGAAAGAUAUAAAAAAAUUAGCUAGUUAGGGGUCGAUAUUGAUACAACCUAAUUGAUGCAAUGCAAGUUGUCGAUUUGGAUAUCUCUUAUCUGGUUGUAUUAAUACUUCAGGCUUGGAUUGCAUAGUGGAGCAAAGUACUAGUAGAAUGCUACAGGAGUACCAGGGCUGGUGUAGUAUAUAUCCUAAUGCAGUUCCUUCUUUACCAGAAUGCAACCAUUGUGAGAGCUGCUGCGUCUUCUGCAAUUGCUACUGGAUACCCUUAUUUUUUACAGUUUCAAGUUUGAAUUGUAUAUAUGUGUAGUUUGUUUCUGUGUUGUUGCUAAAAUCCACAAUCUGUAACUGCGGUGUCGCUCACUUCUUGAAGGGCAUCUGGCAUCAAUGCAUGUGUCUCAGAUAUGUGACUGUUAACCAUUUGAUCACUUUUCACUCCCUGCUUCAUUUGAUUCUUAUAAAAUAGAUCACGGCUGCGAAGGAUUUGAUACACAUAAAUAGUGAAUGAUUAUUUGCAAAUACUAAUGUCAUGUUUAGGCGAUAGAUGCUUAUAACUUUCGAACCCUUCCCUGGACCCUGCGCAAGCGGGAGCUACAUGCACCAGGUUGCCCCCUAUUCCUCCGCGAACUAAGAUUAGCAUUACUUGUAGAUGGCUUGUUCUGAUGGUGAGGCUGAGCACCAAUGGAUACAGAGUGUCAAGUCAGGAGGAGCAGUUCCUUGUCUACCGCCCGAAAACUGUCCUAAUGGUUGGGCUACUCCUCCUGGUGACACUUUUAUGGUCAGAGGCCCAGAAUAUUUUGCAACCAAGGCAAAAAUACCUGGUGGGGAGUAUCUUCUGAAGCCUCUUGGAGUUGAUUGGAUCAAAGGCCCAGUAAAAAUCUGUGAGGUCCUGAAAAACAGGAACCAUCGUGUGAGGAAAGCCAUCGAUGAGGAGGUUUCUCACGGCAAUAAACCUUUUGUCUGGGCCUUCAACUUGCAACUGCCCAGCAAGGAGAACUACAGCGCGAUAUUUUACUUUGUCUCACUGGAACCUGCACCCGAGGGCUCGCUGAUGGAUCAAUUCCUUAAAGGGGACGAUGCUCUCCGUAAAUCCAGGCUUAAACUGAUAGCAAACAUAGUUAAGGGGCCCUGGAUUGUCCGAAAAGCUGUGGGUGAACAAGCCAUCUGCAUACUUGGCAGAGCACUUUCGUGCAAGUAUGUCGAGGGAUCAAACUUCAUCGAAGUUGAUGUGGAUAUUGGGUCUUCCAUAGUUGCAAAUGCAAUUGUUCAUCUGGCAUUUGGUUACGUGGCGACACUGACUAUAGAUUUAGCAUUUGUUAUUGAGAGUCAAGCUGAAUCAGAGCUCCCCGAGAGACUUCUUGGAGCUGUAAGGUUCUCUGAGUUGAGUCCGGGAUCAGCUGGUGUGUACGAAGUGCCAUCUGAAGAGCAGCAGGAAAUUGCUCCAAUUCUGCCUUCAAGAUUAUGGCGGAGUUUUACCCAACUGCUACAGAACCCAGGCAACUCAAUGCAGCCGUCGCCUAGCUCAGAAAACACUAAUGGAAACUUUCACAAGGAAGAUGCUGGUAACAACGAUAAUUGAUAUCCCGGAAUCCCAUACUAGACAUGUAUAAAGCUUCCAUCCAAAGGACGCCUUCAUUGGUUGAGGAUAAUAUGCUAGUUCAGGCGAUGUGUAAAAGUUGAAUUCGUUUCUACGACGAUGAACAACGGCCUCAGGUAGUUGUGGAUUAUCAUAGUCCUGGGCCCUGCUGUAAAAAUGAUACAUACUGGUCAAGAGAAAAACAUCUUUCUGUACAUAUUAACUAAAUUUACCUUUUAGCCCGACAAAUUGAGAUGUUGUAUUGCAUUCUCUUUCUGGCUGUGACACUGGUAAAAACUUUUUUUUUUGAAAC